Molecule: ribosomal RNA, 411 nt
Filed under: Typhlodromus pyri
Lineage: Eukaryota; Metazoa; Arthropoda; Arachnida; Mesostigmata; Phytoseiidae
Description: partial small subunit ribosomal RNA
Source: RNAcentral
CUAGGAUUAGAUACCCUGUUAUUUAUAAAAUUUUAGUAGUAAAUGAAAACCCCAAAAUUAAAAAAAAUUGGCGGCUUUUUAAUCAUUUAGAGGAAUUUAUUCUUUUAAGGAUUCAACACCUACACCUGAAUUAAUUUAGUAACAAACAAUCUGUAUACCUCUAUAAAAAAAAAUAAAUUUUUUUUAUAUUUCUUAAAUCUUUUUUAAGACUAAAAUUAAGUCAAGGUGCAAUUUAUAGUUAAAUUUGAAAUAAAUUAUACUUAUUUAAAUAAAUCAAAAAGUAUAUUGAAAAUAUAAACCUUAAGAAAAAUUUAAAAGUAAGUAAAAAUUAUAGAUUUUUAUUGAAUACUAAAAAUAUUAAGUGUACAUAUUGCCCGUCACUCUUUUAUCAAAGAUAAGUCGUAACAUAGU